Molecule: ribosomal RNA, 324 nt
Filed under: uncultured eukaryote
Lineage: Eukaryota
Description: partial 18S ribosomal RNA
Rfam family: Eukaryotic small subunit ribosomal RNA
Source: RNAcentral
CCCUUAGAUGCUCUGGGCCGCACGCGCGCUACACUGGUCGAUGCAACGAGUUUCUUUCCUUGGCCGACAGGCCUGGGCAAUCUUUGAACAUCGAUCGUGAUCGGGAUAGAUUCUUGUAAUUUUUGAUCUUAAACGAGGAAUUCCUAGUAAACGCAAGUCAUCAGCUUGCAUUGAUUACGUCCCUGCCCUUUGUACACACCGCCCGUCGCACCUACCGAUUGAAUGGUCCGGUGAAAUCUCCGGACUGGCGUGAGUCGGAGCAAUCUGACAAACGCCGGAAAGUUGAUUAAACCUUACCAUUUAGAGGAAGGUGAANUCGUANCA